GAUGAACGCUGGCGGCGUGCCUAAUACAUGCAAGUCGAGCGAAGCGGGGACGGGUGAGUAAUACGUGGAUAACCUCCUAUAAGACUGGGAUAACUUCGGGAACCCGGAGCUCAAUCGGUUACUUAUAGAUGGUUCCGGGCUGCAUUAGCUAGUUGGUAAGGUAACGGCUUACCAAGGCAACGAUGCAUAGCCGACCUGAGAGGGUGAUCGGCCACACUGGAACUGAGACACGGUCCAGACUCCUACGGGAGGCAGCAGUGGGGAAUAUUCCGCAAUGGGCGAAAGCCUGACGGAGCAACGCCGCGUGAGUGAUGAAGGUCUUCGGAUCGUAAAGCUCUGUUAGUAGGGAAGCGGUACCUAAACAGAAAGCAACGGCUAACUACGUGCCAGCAGCCGCGGUAAUAC
This 405-nucleotide ribosomal RNA is filed under the name uncultured bacterium. Its description in RNAcentral is "partial 16S ribosomal RNA". It matches the Rfam family "Bacterial small subunit ribosomal RNA", at positions 28 to 526 of the family's 1533-position model. The record is from RNAcentral.